This is a long non-coding RNA of Rana temporaria (common frog), 699 nucleotides long. RefSeq lists it as uncharacterized. NCBI's taxonomy places the organism in Eukaryota, Metazoa, Chordata, Amphibia, Anura, Ranidae. The record is from RefSeq and is a predicted model, not a curated record. The transcript is spliced from 3 exons.
UCUACUCUCAGGCUCAGCUGAUCUGGAGAAGGCAGGGACUAUUGUGGUUAGGCUUUCCUCGCUAGUGAUUUGAUCACUAAUGACAGCUGCUCUGUUACAAGGAGAUCAUUCAUUUCACCUGGGGCUGCAUCAUCAAUGGUAAGUUUAUAAGGGAGUCAGAGGGGCUUGUCCAGCAAUCAUUUCCCUACCCUCCACUGUUGGAGAGGGAGGUCAUUUUGGUCUCUGACCACCUUUUUCUUUUCUUUUAUUUUUGAUUUAUUUUUCAUCUCCACUUGGAAUGCUGGUCUAUCCAUACUGAGCCUACUGAUUAGGAGUGUUGUGAUACCUCAUAUCCAUUCUUGGCUGCUGACACUUUUUAUGUGAAUACGUUUGUUAUUUCACACACCCCUCAUGGUCUUGGAGCCCUCUGGGAGUGGGGGAGACCUAUGGGCAUUGAGCAUACCAUCUGACUUGGCCACAUUGGAUCCGGCGCACACACGGGCUCUCUGGGGACGAUCUGGACACUCCAAGCUUGGGAGAGGAAAAACCUCACUGCUAAUGUUCCCUGAAGAAGGAUGUAUUACUAAAAGCAUUUGAAACGCGUUGGAAACGACCAUCCAUAUACCCAGUUUUGUGCUGGGGUACAUGAUGAUCUCAUAGCAGCAGUUUUUUCCAAUUUUUUAUUUUAGAUGUUGACAUACUACUUUGAAGUGUUUAUUC